RNAcentral lists this ribosomal RNA (321 nucleotides) under uncultured Mollimonas. Its description in RNAcentral is "SSU rRNA". The stretch from base 62 to 321 matches the Rfam family "Eukaryotic small subunit ribosomal RNA", at positions 694 to 955 of the family's 1831-position model. RNAcentral also lists the same sequence under 1 other name. Lineage: Eukaryota; Cercozoa; Glissomonadida. The record is from RNAcentral.
GAUUUCUGGCUUGAAACAUUUUGCCGGCCACGGUUUCGUGUGUUAGUGCUUGAUGUUCUGGCCAUCCUUCCAAUUGCUGUGCGUUUCUCUUCAUUGAUUAGCGCAUGGUAUUGGAUCUUUUACUUUGAAAAAAUUAGAGUGUUUCAAGCAGGCGAUUGCUAUGAAUACAUUAGCAUGGAAUAAUAAUUUAGGACUUCGGUUCUAUUUUGUUGGUUUCUAGGACUGAAGUAAUGAUUGAUAGGGAUAGUUGGGGGUGCUAGUAUUCAGCGGCCAGAGGUGAAAUUCUUGGAUUCGCUGAAGACUAACUUAUGCGAAAGCAUU